Molecule: non-coding RNA, 126 nt
Filed under: Pontivivens nitratireducens
Lineage: Bacteria; Pseudomonadati; Pseudomonadota; Alphaproteobacteria; Rhodobacterales; Paracoccaceae
Description: FMN riboswitch (RFN element)
Rfam family: FMN riboswitch aptamer (RFN element)
About the family: The RFN element is a highly conserved domain that is found frequently in the 5'-untranslated regions of prokaryotic mRNAs that encode for flavin mononucleotide (FMN) biosynthesis and transport proteins.
Source: RNAcentral
GUUCUCGGGGCGGGGUGCAACUCCCCACCGGCGGUGAUAGCCCGCGAGCGGCCUCUCGAUCGAGAGGUGUCAGCAGAUCCGGUGUAAUUCCGGGGCCGACGGUAAUAGUCCGGAUGUGAGAGAACG